Molecule: ribosomal RNA, 484 nt
Filed under: uncultured bacterium
Lineage: Bacteria
Description: partial 16S ribosomal RNA
Rfam family: Bacterial small subunit ribosomal RNA
Source: RNAcentral
AUUGAACGCUGGCGGCAGGCCUAACACAUGCAAGUCGAGCGGAUGAAGGGAGCUUGCUCAUGGAUUCAGCGGCGGACGGGUGAGUAAUGCCUAGGAAUCUGCCUGGUAGUGGGGGAUAACGUCCGGAAACGGGCGCUAAUACCGCAUACGUCCUGAGGGAGAAAGUGGGGGAUCUUCGGACCUCACGCUAUCAGAUGAGCCUAGGUCGGAUUAGCUAGUUGGUGGGGUAAAGGCCUACCAAGGCGACGAUCCGUAACUGGUCUGAGAGGAUGAUCAGUCACACUGGAACUGAGACACGGUCCAGACUCCUACGGGAGGCAGCAGUAGGGAAUAUUGGACAAUGGGCGAAAGCCUGAUCCAGCCAUGCCGCGUGUGUGAAGAAGGUCUUCGGAUUGUAAAGCACUUUAAGUUGGGAGGAAGGGCAGUAAGUUAAUACCUUGCUGUUUUGACGUUACCAACAGAAGAAGCACCGGCUAACUUCGUG